GGGCUACCAGUGCUGGUGUAAGUGUAUGUAAUACACAGUGUAUGUAUGGGCUAUAAAAAACGGCAUACAAUUUAAAACAACCAUUUAGUUUCUCUCAUAAACUUUCAUUUCAUUUCCUCUUUUACUAUCAAACACCAAACACAUGUGUUGUUGUUAGACACUUGCCAUCACUUAUGAUAAUAAUGAUAUGGUUGGGUUGGGAACUCAAACAACACACGACUGUCCUCGGAUAGCAUUACUGGACUAGAGAUUAUGACCAUCACCAGAGAAAUGAACCAAAUUUAAUGGUUAAGACAAUGAUUGAUCCCCCAAAAAAAAAAGAUGACGACAACUAUAUCUAUUUGUGUUGAGAGAAAUGGCUAAAUGUCUUCAAGCAAUGUGUUUCCUGAAUACAUACACGAGGAAGGCGUGGAUAACACGUGUAUUAACAACAGAAAUAGAUAAUGGUUGACUAACUCACAUACCAUUUGAUGAUUGAUUGACAUUAUUAGGGAACUCCUCGAGAGGUUUAUACAAGAACUAUAUGUAGCUGAUCUGUACCGUCACUGUUGUUGAUGGCUAUCACUUGAUUUGAUCCUCUCUAAGAUAAAUGAUAAUUAUGAUAUACAUACUAACCAUGGAUGACCAUAGAUAGUGUUUAUGAUAGUUAGGUGCCGCCCCUAUUGGAUGGUUUACAACGCGUACAUACGGUUGACUUCCCCCCCCCAUUUGGAUGGCUUUAUCGGAUUGUUUUUUUUUGGUUGACCAGAGCAAUGGUGAGGGGAACCCCCACUAUAAUGGGUCGGUCGUAUCAGUUAUGGAUGUCCGUGUAGUUGGUUUCUAUUGGUGUUUUAUCGGUUUUUUUUCGCCUCAUUAAUGAUUUUAUCAAAUCUAUUGUAUCCAUCAAUUUGAUAACAACGUAAAAAUGCGCACCGGUAGUCAAUCAGUCGUCCUCAACAUUAUUGACCCAUUACUGAUCAUCACUGGUAGUUCAUGGAUAGUCAAGUGGUUGAUAUUUUGAGAGAUUAAUACAAGCACUGGGAGUGUCCAUUGACUGCUAUUGAUUGGGACACUGGGAUUGAUAGUUAACGGGACAUUACUGGCCGAGCACUGGUAGUUAGUCGUCGUCCGCAUAAAAUGUAUUUCGAGGUAAUCAAUGGAUCAAUCACUGGACACUUAUCGGUCGACAUAGUUAUCAGCCAUUACUGGGAACUAAUUGCAAUCAUAGA
This is a long non-coding RNA of Oppia nitens, 1208 nucleotides long. RefSeq lists it as uncharacterized. The transcript has 13 exons. Lineage: Eukaryota; Metazoa; Arthropoda; Arachnida; Sarcoptiformes; Oppiidae. The record is from RefSeq and is a predicted model, not a curated record.